Molecule: long non-coding RNA, 905 nt
Organism: Anopheles funestus (African malaria mosquito)
Lineage: Eukaryota; Metazoa; Arthropoda; Insecta; Diptera; Culicidae
Exons: 3
Source: RefSeq, a predicted model, not a curated record
UCAAAUAAUGCUUUAAAUAAAAAACAGAAUAAAAAAAUUAUAAAAAAAGAAAAACUAGAAAAAUUAGAAAAUUUCAUAAAGGUCCUUCUUGCUCCAAGUUUUAGCUAUAACUCGGUCGGUAUCCAACGGAUCGCCAAUCUUUAACCUGUGAUCGAUAGAUGGCACCAAUGGCUACAUUUUCUUUUCGGACGGCCAUGCCCUCAGAUGUCUGUGCCAGAAGUUAUUCGAGGAACCAAGUUCCUUACCCUGUUUGAGAAAAUGUAAAAUUUUCCUCAUUUUUCUACAAUUCAGCAAAAUUUUUAAAUGUGAUAUAUUUUAAUGCGAAUUUGUUGCAAUAAGUUUCUUUUCACUCAAGUAAUGCUUUAAAUUAAAAAAUGAAUAAAAAAUCAGAAAAAAAUUUCAAAAAAAUUUUUCACUCGAAAAUUUCAUAAGGCUUACUCCUUACGUUUUUUUGAGAAAUUUUACAAAAAAAUGAAAUUGAUUUAUUUUAAUGCCAAUUGGCUGAAAAACGUUUGUUUUCACUCAAAUAAUGCUUUAAAUAAAAAACAGAAUAAAAAAUUAUAAAAAAAUAGAAAAAUAAGAAAAAUUAGAAAAUUUUAUAAAGGUCCUUCUUGCGCCAAGUUUUAGCUAUAACUCGGUCGGUAUCCAACGGAUCGCCAAUCUUUAACCUGUGGUCGAUAGAUGGCACCAAUGGCUACAUUUUCUUCUCGGACGGCCAUGCCCUCAGAUGUCUGUGCCUGAAGUUAUUCGAGGAACCAAGUUCCUUACCCUGUUUGAGAAAAUGUAAAAUUUUCCUCAUUUUUCUACAAUUCAGCAAAAUUUUUAAAUGUGAUAUAUUUUAAUGCGAAUUUGUUGCAAUAAGUUUCUUUUCACUCAAAUAAUGCUUUAAAUUAAAAAAAGAUUAA